CGAGAAGUAGGAAAAGCCUCCCAAAUUAUUCAGAGGAGAGUUAAAACAGGGAAAAUGCAUCUGGCGAUAAGGAGGUGAUGUGGGGACCAAGGUCUAGGCAACUGGAUUGCUGCGGUUUCUGCGGUAAAGAAGAAGAGAAAUACCUUGGAAUGCACAAAACACAAAGAGCAGCCAGGCCCAUGCAAGUGCUGCAGAGACGCCGGCUGAAUGACCAGUCCACCUGGUAAAGUAGCUGA
This 236-nucleotide long non-coding RNA is filed under the name Crocodylus porosus (Australian saltwater crocodile). RNAcentral describes it as "lncRNA (ENSCPRG00005012775.1)". Lineage: Eukaryota; Metazoa; Chordata; Crocodylia; Crocodylidae. The record is from RNAcentral.